Molecule: long non-coding RNA, 4984 nt
Filed under: Lactuca sativa (garden lettuce)
Lineage: Eukaryota; Viridiplantae; Streptophyta; Magnoliopsida; Asterales; Asteraceae
Description: long non-coding RNA (LSAT_LNC002959)
Source: RNAcentral
AUAAUUCAUCCUAUCAAGUUGCUUUGAUGAAGGCAACCCAAAAUGACCAUGCACCAUCGGGUCAAGUACAUACCAAAAUAGUUAUGAACUUAGACACUAAUCCAACAAGAAGUAGUCCAAGGCUUCUAAAGAAGGAGUCCAUGGGCUGCUUAGGGCUUAAGUAGUCAAAUUAGGGUUUCCUUGUUAGAUAACCCUAAUUGCCUAAGUAUAUAAGGAGCCCUUAGGCACGAAAAACAUGGCUAACACUUGGAUUAGGGUUUCCAGCCGUUUUUGGUGCCUCCCCUCUCUUCUCUUCUUUAUCUUGUUGCUUAGUGGUGUUUGUGACUCCAUUAGAGGUGCAACACUUGAGGCACUAAGCUUUCUAAAGCUAAGGAUUGAUUGUUAUUGCUAUAUAACAAUCAAAGGUCAGAUCUAAACCCUAUUUUAUGUUAAUAUGAUUAAUUGUAUGCUAGAUCUAGGGUUUAUAGCUUUGGAUAUUCAAUUGCAUGUUCAUUAGACAUACUAGAUCCAAAAGCUAUUAGGGUUUGCAUGUACACCAUAGGAUUGAUGUAUUGCUCAAAACCUAUCAGUGGUAUCAGAGCCUAGGGCUGUUUGAUAGUGAAUUUGAUGCUUUUUGACUUUUUGGGGUUGGACUCGCCGAGUCCAUGACUGAACUCGCCGAGUCCACUGGGUACUCGAUGAGUCCAGUGCUGACUCGACGAGUCAGCGAGUCUGACAGCUAUAUUUUGCGAUUUUCUUGCUUUUUUUUUUUUGCUGUGGGAUAAUUACCAAAACGUUUUUGAUUGAUAAAAAUCGGAUUUUUAUGAUAUUGGGUGAUUAUCCUUGCCAAAAUAAAAGAUAUCUUCAUAUUAAUUGAAUAAUUACUUCCUUAUAUGAUUAAAUUUAAUUAUUUGAAUUAUUUGGUGAGUUAUCUUGCAAGAAAUUGGACUAGGUCAAAAUUAGAUAACCACCAAUUAGUUGUUAAUUGCCUUAUUUGAAUUUUUGAUCUAGAAUGUUCUUGAUAAAGUUUGAAAAAGUUUCAAAUUACUCCCUUUAGGUUUUAUAGUUUAAAUUUGAACUUAAAAGUUUUGUUUUUGAAAUUUAAAUAAGUUAAAUCCUAAUGUUUUGAAAAGUUUCAAAACUUUCCCUCAAGUUUUGGAUUUUAAAAUUAAUUAAAAGUCUUAAUUUGAAAUUUUAAAUUCUAAAACCCAAGUAAUUUGAAAAGUUCAUUUUACACCCUUAUGGUUUUAUUAAUUAAUUAAAGUGUAUAAUUAAAAUAGAUUUAAUAAACCCAUAAUGUUUUGGUUUACAUUUAAAUAAAAUAAAAGUAUAAUUUGCUAAAUUAGACUACCUACUAUUUUAAAAGUGUAAAAUACACCCUAUACUAUAGAUAACAUUAAAAGUCUAAUAUUAUAUAUAUGUAUGAGUAAACAGUUAGUCUUACCGUUAGUAGGCCUCAUUCACGAAGCUGGUUUAUAAUGGGUGUUUAAGGAAAUUGCCUAUAAAGUGGCGAUUGAAUGGGUAUCCACUCUUACCCACCACACUCUUGACUAGUGGAGGGUCGUUAGCCGAACAGGUAGGAUAGGACAGAAACCUUCCAUUAUAAGUAUAAUGAAGUACAAAGUAACUAAAUAUUUUUUCAAAUUCCCAAAUCAUAGUUACUUUAGGCAAAAUGUGAAGUUGUAUGCUAUCCAUGGAAUGACACUUUGCACCCUUGCCGAAACGUUAGUGGACCGUGUGUGGUUAACCAACACACUAAUUUGGGUUUGGCAUUGGUAGCGAAGGGUGACUCGAUGUUUGUCAUAGAUCAAUGGAGCGUGUGUGGCUAACCGGCACAUUGAUUAGGUGAUAGUAGCAUUGAGUGCACCACGUAGAUUCGUAUGGUUAUUCACACCUUAUUUGUGAUCCUCGGCAUCCCGGUCACAAAUAGAAGGGCAUAAUCAAGAUUAAACAUGCCAUUGAAAAGUUCAAUGAAUCUCAAAUUCAUUUAAAACUUAAAUUUCCUUUUCAUUUUUCAUGGUGGAAAUUGGUAAAUCGUCAUUUACCUACCUUCAAAUAUUCUACAACUAGAUUACGACAUCCUUCUUCUAGGCUGUAGAGUAUUGUGUUGGAUCCUAGCCUUAAUAAUUCAUUUGGGUGUUUUAUGAAGGACUCAAUCAACUUAACUUGAUUUUUCUCCCAUUUUGUAGAUGUCAGAAUCUUACAAUGGUCUUCCCAAAUCCUCUGGAACAAGCUUUCCAAAUGAAGAUGACGUUCCAAGCUACGAUCAAGGAAAUGAGAGUCAUGCUUCACUUCCUCCACCUCCUCGAAUUGUUCUCCCUGACCCACAAGUUUAAAGGAUUGAAAAUUUCAAGCUCAUUCAAGCCCUUUUGGCAAGUAAACACGAAGAUGGGAAACCUGUGUGUGCACACGUCUUAGAGAUGAAGUCACACAUUGAUAGGUUAAGGAUGUUGGGUGUCGAUAUCUCAGAGAUGUUGGUUGUUGACUGGGUUCUUCAGCCAUUUACUGAAUCAUAUAGUGAGUUCGUAAGAGAGUACUAUAUGAUGGAACACAACGUGACCCUAAUUGUUCUCACUUAUUUGCUUAUAGCUGCUGAAUCCGCAAUGAUUUGGCGUGCUGGUCAAGCAAAUUUGUCUGGUGAAUCAAACUCCCAAUCUUCAAUGGACGUUGGCAACAUUGGAAGUCCAGAAAGGACUAAGCAUGAGAUUGUCCCAUGUACUGUCCCAAAGGAGUCCAUUUGCUUUUAUUGCUAAGAGAAAGGGCAUUGGAGAUGAAGCUGCCCUAUUUGCCUGAGAGAUCUAAGAGAUGGGAGAGUCAAAACGUAUGACUCUACUUCAGGUAAAAAUCCAUUAAAUAACUCUUUUAAGUUCCUAUUCUAGAUUCUUAAUACAUGAUGUGAUAAGAUUAUAUUUUGAUGUUUUGUAGGAUCGAAGAAAAGAGAUGAAGCUUAAGGGAAGAAAUGAGCUGAAUCUAAUCGUGAAGAAAUGGAUUUCGAUCACAUUGCUUGAAGAUUGGAUUCUUGAGCUACUACUUGGAGUUAGAAUAGAUUGUUAAGAAAUAUGUAAUAACAUAGUUUUUCAAUUGAAUUGCAUUGUAAGGAAAAAAUUUUCCGCAAUAAAAUAAAUUUUGAUUUUAUCUUAUUUAUUUAUCCUUUCAAUGGCAUGUAUGAAAAUUGAUGUUUGAAGGUUUCUAUUAUUAGCAAUAAUGGAUUUUAUUUUUAAUUAUGUUAUUUGUGGAAAUGUCGAGAAUUUGCCAAAUAGGGAGAGUUUCUCAUCGCCCAAGUUUCAAUUAGACAAAAACUUGGAAUCAUACAACUUGGGUGUGUGAUAAAUGAGAAACUUUAUAAUUGGAAAUUCAAGACUAAUUCAUUGACAAAGAGUCAAGUGAAGGACUAGGAUAUCGAGUUCGCAAUGUUGUGCAUCAAUCAAGUCCACCACAAGAAUGAUAAAGAUAUUCUUCAUGAUUUAGUAAAGUUUAGUAAAUAUGAUUAUACUUAUAAGAUCAAGUGUAACUUUGAGUUGAUUGAAAGAGUUUCAAUGAAUAUCAGAACGAAUAAAGAAGGAUCAAGUAGGCAGAAAGAUAAAAGUUUCUCUAUUCUAAGAAGAAGGGAUAGUACCUUUUAUUGUGUUUAUGAUAAAGUCUUAAUGAUUAAGAACCAUAUCUCAAUUGGUCCUCUAAGUGAGUCUUAGUACAUUUGUAUGUCUAAGAAGAGGAAUCAGGAAUUUUGGAAAUGGUUAAAUCAAGAAGUCAAUCAUACUUCGUUCCCAUAUUGAAUCUUAGAGCCAAGAUUGUGAAUUGAGUGACACGUCUUUAGUAGGUUUAUAACACUCAACAAAUGUGGAAUUUGGAAAAGUUUUCUUAUUAUUGCACAUUUGAAAUUGGUAAGUUGUGCUGUCUUGGAUAAGACAAAGACCAACUAGAACCAAUUAUGUGAAGUGUUUUGUCUUGAUAAGAACUACACUAACUCUUGAAUAUUUGUUUUGUCUAGGAAAGUUUCCUGACAAGAGAAUCAUAUAUGUCAAGAGGUCAGUGGGAGUUUUAAUGAUCUUGAAAAAGGUUUCAAGAACAAAUCAAGAAUAAACCUUANAAUUAUUACUAACACGACUUGAGGUUUACAACCUAUCGUGUUGACAUUAUUUUGUUUCUAUGUCAUUCCAAUUGAGUUAAUUAUGUAUGUGAGUUCUAUGAGUUCUCAUUUGAAUGCAUAAAGACAAAGCAGGAGAUUGUUAUUAGACUUAUCCAAGUGGGAGAUUGUUGAUCAGGUUCUAAAUUCAUACAUAAAAUAGUUAUUAGACUUAUCCAAGUGGGAGAUUGUUGGAUUAGUGUCUAAGUCCAUAAAUAUUUUGGUAUGUACUUGACCCGAUUAUGAGCAUGGUCCUUUUGGGUUGCCUUCACCAUAGCAAUAUGUAGGAUGAAUUAAGGAGAGAAAGGUUUAAUUAUGAUUUAUUAAUAUAUUAUAAGAAUAAUAUAUUAAAGGAUAAAUCAUAAUGUUUAAUUAAUAUUAGUCAAGAAUUAAUUAAUAAGUAAUUUUGUGGCUAAAAGAGAUUAAUUAAACUAAAGGGACUUAUUCUGUAAUUAUAAGAUAAUUACAUAGAUGGACUUAUGGACUCCAUAGAAGGUGGAGUGGACGAAUUCUAUGGGGAAACCCAUUAGAAGUCGUCCAAGGCUUCUAAAGAAGGAGUCCAUGGGCUGCUUAGGGCUUAAGCAGUCAAAUUAGGGUUUCCUUGUUAGAUAACCCUAAUUGCCUAAGUAUAUAAGGAGCCCUUAGGCACCAAAAACGUGGCUAACACUUGGAUUAGGGUUUCCAGCCGUUUUUGGUGCCUCCCCUCUCUUCUCUUCUUCAUCUUGUUGCUUAGUGGUGUUUGUGACUCCAUUAGAGGUGCAACACUUGAGGCACUAAGCUUUCUAAAGCUAAGGAUUGAUUGUUAUUGCUAUAUAACAAUCAAAGGUCAGAUCUAAACCCUAUUUUAUGUUAAUAUGAUUAAUUGUAUGCUAGAUCUAGGGU